RNAcentral lists this transfer RNA (67 nucleotides) under Aesalus sp. JL-2019. RNAcentral describes it as "tRNA-Ser". The record is from RNAcentral. Lineage: Eukaryota; Metazoa; Arthropoda; Insecta; Coleoptera; Lucanidae.
GAAAUAGGAUACCCAAGAAAAAGCUUCUAACUUAAUUCUUUAGUGGUGAAAUUCCAUUAAUAUUUCU